Molecule: unclassified non-coding RNA, 303 nt
Filed under: plant metagenome
Description: partial contains 5.8S ribosomal RNA, internal transcribed spacer 2, and large subunit ribosomal RNA
Rfam family: 5.8S ribosomal RNA (bases 1-105)
Source: RNAcentral
GAAAUGCGAUAAGUAAUGUGAAUUGCAGAAUUCAGUGAAUCAUCGAAUCUUUGAACGCACAUUGCGCCCGCCAGUAUUCUGGCGGGCAUGCCUGUUCGAGCGUCAUUUCAACCAUCAAGCCCCGCGCUUGUGUUGGGGACCUGCGGCUGCCGCAGGCCCUGAAAGCCAGUGGCGGGCUCGCUGUCACACCGGGCGUAGUAGAUUUUAUCUCGCUCAGGGCGUGCUGCGGGUUCCGGCCGUUAAAAAGCCUUUUUUACCCAAGGUUGACCUCGGAUCAGGUAGGAAGACCCGCUGAACUUAAGC